Aegilops tauschii subsp. strangulata is the source of this 763-nucleotide non-coding RNA. The record is from RefSeq and is a predicted model, not a curated record. NCBI's taxonomy places the organism in Eukaryota, Viridiplantae, Streptophyta, Magnoliopsida, Poales, Poaceae.
GACAUUUAAUUUUUGCAGUCUCAUGUGAAUGAAAGACCCUGUGUGUCUCUGACUUGCAACUGAUUUGAGGCUCAAACUUUGCCAUUUGAUCUCCUACCAGUAGCUCCAGUGCAUUAUUAUCGUUGUUGGAUUUGCAUGUACUACAUAAGCAAAGGGUAGAUGCCAUGAAAAAAGCACAUUAGGAAGUAUUUGUACCUUUUAGUUAUUAUUAUCAUUGUGUUUGUUCUGGCCUACAAGGAUCUCACUUAGAUAUUACCAAUUUUCAUCAGGGUUCUAUAUGCAGUGUUCAUAGAUUCCUUGCAUUGUUCAGUUACCAAUUUUUGUAAGGGUCAUACUUAAUGGACCAUGGCACACCCUUCCAAUGCAGGUUGCUUCCAUGACAAUACUUCAAAUAUGGGAGCCUGGUUUGCCUAUCAUCAACAGAGGGAGUAUGUCUCAAGACAUGACAAUGCAUAAUAAUAGUUGUUGUAAGGGAGUUGAAACUCAUGAGAAGUGAGAAAAAAUGUAAGACUAAUCCAUUGACUACCAGGUUUAUGAGUGGCCUUAUUACUACGUGGAAGGUACCUCUUAAUUCCUUCUUUUUAUGUGGGGACCCUCUUCAUUCCUUGAUCAUAGCAUGGCUUGAGGCGAAGCUAAGUGGAGGCAAAGAAAUAUCAGACAUAGUCGGCGGCAAGUUGGUUCUACCAACGCAGGAAUGUUGUUGUUGACGAAUGUGAAAUAUCAGUGAUUCACUAUCAUUAAUAAUUUGGUGUUCAUAUUCAUA